Molecule: long non-coding RNA, 8435 nt
Filed under: Triticum aestivum (bread wheat)
Lineage: Eukaryota; Viridiplantae; Streptophyta; Magnoliopsida; Poales; Poaceae
Description: long non-coding RNA (TAES_LNC010717)
Source: RNAcentral
CUCAUUCUUGCUUCUCUCUCAAAAAAGGUUACUCACUCUUCCGUCUGGUUCCCGGUAGUUUCUUCAUCUACACAAACCGUACAGCGGUGCUGCUGGUGGCCUUGGUGUUCUCUUUGUUGUCCAGGGCGGUGUCCUUUUUACUACUGCUCUGUUUCCAGGUGCGAUUUACCAGCUUCUUGCAUACGUUUCAGCGUUUCUUUUAAUUAGCACAAAUCUUCAUCAGCGGCUAUGAGCAAAAUUCUUAUGUAUGAUGAAAUAUCUAAUAUCAACUCACCAGGAUGUUAAUUCUAUGUAAUUAAGUACUUGAUCUAGUAUCAGAGAGGCGAAAAGGGAGCGGCCGGCUCGAUCCCCAAAUCCCGCCGGUGAGGGCGCGGAUCCCUGCCUCCUCCGCUCGCUUCGGCGGCGGGAGGAGGCGGGGAUCCCGUUUCCCUGCCUCCGGCGUGUAGAUAGGGUAGGUGUAGUCCCCGGCGGCGUCGAGUUGGUGGUUGGUUCGCCGUCGCUUGCGUUGAAUAAAUCCGCCGUCUUCCCUCCCCCUCCCCCUUGCCGGCGCUGGACGUGUCGGCAUGUAGGCGGCGUGCUUUUCUCGCCGUUCUGCGGAUCGGCUGGUGGCUGGGAUCCCUCCUUCGUUGGUGGCAUCAACGGAUCGGAGGGAUAUUUUGUUCCUCGUGGGUCUCCGGGCCGCACGAGUUCUUGCCUCCUCGGGCUGGACGGCGAUGCGACGUUGCCGUCUUCGCCAUGUGAGUACUCUCCUACCCCUCCUCUUCGUCGACGCGCCGGCGUCUUCCCCAUCGACGGCGCGGGGGUGGGGUGCUGCUGUGCUUGUAGGGGUGGAUCUCAGGUUUAUGGAGUGGAUUCGACAGCGAUGGCUGAUCUCCCGGGGUGCUGGUCCUUUGCGGCCGAAGAUUGGAGACUUCCCGUUCGUCACGGUCGUCUUAAAAAGGGUGCUUGCUCCGGCGAUGGAGCGGCGAGGACGACGGCGCGCCACCAACUCGUGGACUUCAGUUCUCGUUGUGUGGUCUGAGGACCUGUUUGUAAUUUUAUUUGCUUUCGGGGUCCUUUGUACUGCUCCAGAUUUUGCAAUAUAAGCCUGUGAUCUUUUUCGCAAAAAAAAAAGAAGUAUUUGAUCUAAACGCUUUUAUAUUUUUUAUGGAGGGGGUACCUUGUAUAUGACGAUAACUUGUUUUGUGCGUGUAGUUGCAAAAGCUCGACAGGACGAAUGGCAGAGAUCAGGAGCGGUAGCAUGGUGAACAAGAGAGACCUCGAAAGUGAUCAGCCCUGCAAGCUGUCGCACCAAUUUAUAAGACAUAUUACAAAGGAUUUCGACGAAACACUGGUAAUUGGAAGUGGUGCAUUCGGGACAGUUUACAAGGUAUGACUAUGAACACAACAUUUUUGCCUUAAAUGCGGAAACAAUAAUAGUACGGAAACACUAACGCCUACACGUGUGGGCGUUCUCUAACUCGCCCACACACUUAGAUCGUCGUUCAUUGUCUUUUGUACGAAUCUUGACAUGAAAAGGUAGAUUUCGUGUGCCACGUAGAACAGGGCUGGUGUGUGGCGUUGGAGAGUUUGCCUACACGCUCGCACCAUUGUGUUUGCCAGCUGCGCUGUGUGGGUGAACUAGUUUCUACCCACACAGACAGCCACCUACUUCGUGCGCGUGUGGGCAAACUGCUUUUCGCCCACACGACACUCCUAUGAUGUGGAUGGCAACUGCAGUUAGGCGAACGUGGCAACUAGGUAAACACGCAUGACAACUGUGAUAUUUUGUUAGAUGACUACUGCAGUUACGCGUACGUGGCAACCAGAUAAACACACAUGGCAACUGUGAUUAACAAUACAUGACAAUUAUGAUUGAACCACACGUGGCAACUAGGUAAACACACAUGGCAACUACUGUUUGACCAUAUGUGGCAAGUAGUUAAUCCAAAUGACAACUACAGUUUGAUUACACGCGGCAACUACCAUAAAUUAGACAUGUCAACUAUAAUUAACCAAAACAGAUAGAGUUGCCAUACUUUUACAACUACACUUGCCAUCCCGCAUAACUACAUCUGCCAACCAGAUUGACAACUAAAUCGUCAUCCCGCGGUGUUCCUAACGUAGCCGCGUCAGGAAAUGUGGGCAUUUUUGCUUCGUGCCACACAAACGGGGUGAAGAUGAGUAGUAUUUAUUGGUGUGUGGCACGAAGCAGCCGCGCCCACACGUGUGGACAAUUCUAAUGUUCGCCCACACACAACCCGUGUGGGCUGCCUCCUACUCACACCACACAUGAUGUGUGGACACAUGUCGAAUAUACCACACGUGUGGCAGUUAUCGGCGUCCUAAUAGUAUACGUUGUGUAGUUAUUAAGUGUGGACCGUGAGACAAAUUUUGGAUGAGCACCAGAGAAUAUUAGGGAGGUUAUUAGGCGAAGAAACAAACCAGAACGAAGCGGAUCCGACGCCGAGAAAGACGCUGGCCGCCGCUUAAUGAAGCCCAGCAACGCACUGGUCUUGCCGGAGCCUCCUCCCCACGAGACGACACCUCAAAACGCCAUAAAGAACGCAGGCAAACUACAAACUACAGCUAUGAAGAAGAAAGGGAUGGGUCCCUCGCUCUACUCGCCGCCGGCCGAGCCGGAUAGGAGAGGGGAGGGGCCAGGGGAGAGAGAUCGGCGGAGGGCUGGAAGGGGAGGAAACGAGGAGAGCAGGAAGAAGAUCGUACCGAUGAAGACGGAUGGCUUUUUUUCAACACACUACAAGACGGAUGGCUGAUUCGUCACUGCCUGCUAUGCGUUCUAUCGGGAGUUCUCAAAUCGGCUGAUUGUUGUGUCGUAGUUCUUUUUCUUUUAGUAUAUAAAAAUCCCUGCUACGUCUGGUUUUGCUCUCCGGUUGAUUCCCCACAAAAUCUUCUCCGGAGAGCGUUUUUGUGCUUCAUCUCCAUCCACGGUUCUGUCCAAGCGGGUGGGUGUAGAUGGAAUACGUGUUUCAUCUACCACGCAGCAGUCCCCGUGAUGCUCCCCGCGAGUGUCCCAGGCGCACCCCAAAUCAACGCCGCCGGCCACCUACUACCCCUCGCCGCCGCCGGAGGGCGCCUCCGGCAAAGCCCGCGCGGCAAUGGCAGUGGCGGGGCCCUCCUCCCUCUCGCAAGGCGCGCGUGCGGCGCGGGGGCGCUAGGCGGGAGGUGCAGCGGAUGACUGGAGCCUGGAGGUGGCCAUGGGCACGCGGGCGGGGGCGUGCUAAGGGGUUCGGCGCGGAUCUGGCGCUCCGGUAGGUGCGAUGGCAGGGGGUUGGCUGCUGCUCGGGCGGCAGCCCGAGGUGGCCCGGUGGAGCCGCUUCGUUGUGAAGGAGCAGGGGCGCGCCUGAGGCUGCUGGAUCUUCUGCAUUCUCUAGCGGGCGUGGUGCGCGUGCGAGCUUGGUCGCGGCCAGGAACCGAGGUGGUUCAUGGCCUCGGGCAGCAUAUCUCUUGUCCCGUCGGCGUGCUGCUCGGCAUGGACAGGAGAUUCGUGUUGCGUCCGGUGACUCAGCUUUCGGUCAAUGGUUGGCGGUUCAACGAUGGGCUUCUUCGACUAUGAGCUGGCUCGGUGGUAGUGCAAGGUGGGUGCCGUUGUGAGAUGAUAUGCAGAUGAGGUGGUGUCGGGAGCUUGGGUGAAAACCAUGUCUUGGUUGUGGCCGUGACCUUCUUGGAGGCAUCGCUCUACUACUGUCGCACCCCCCCAGGGCGGAUCACUGCAGCUCCGGGGAAACCCUUUGAUCUUGUUUGAUCAGACGAUGGCAUCGCCUUGGUGUCGUUCUCUCUCCUGGGGGCUUUGUCUUUGGAGUUGGAUGUUGGCGAGCGGGACCAGUGGAAGACGGUGGUGUUGGCGUCGAGACUUCUGUGGCAACGAUGAUGGGGCGAGUAGUGUCGGAGAUGUGGUUAUGGUUGAGGUAGUCGGCUCUUCUCCGACAUGUCCGCAGGAUUGCCUCGGCUAGUUUGUUACUGUGAAGUUCAAGCUGCAGUGGCGGGGCCCGUUGGUAUACGAUGACAAGCAGCAGGUGGUUCGUUCAAUGAUCUUCUGCGGCGCCAGCCGUGCCUAGUUCUCCUUCGUGGUCGGAGCUGCGAUGUAGGGUCGCAGGUGGUUGGGUUUGGCGCGGAUCUUCAUGCGUCUUCACAUGGCCUCUUCAGUGUGGGUUGGGUCGAUGAUCGCCUACGCUGAAGUCGAAGUCGUUUGCUCAGGGUUUAGGGAUAGCGAUGAUGCCUUUAGGGGAAGAAUGAUGACGAUGACAUCUGUGUGCUGACUCGUGAGACCCUCUCUAGAGUGGUGUGUGGGGAACCUUGUGUGCCGCUUUACGGUUGUGAUUGUUUUGCCCGGUUCCAGUGGCGAAGCCAGCUCGACCGGUUGAGCCGGGGCAAAGUCCAGGACGCUCCUGCUUGCCGGUUGUUUGCCCCUGCAAAAUGAUGCUUGGCUCUCCAUUAACUAGCAAAAUGAUGCUUGGCUCUCCAUUAACUACUAGUGGUCAAAGGAGAAUGCAUGGCACAGCCCGGUUCUCCAUAAUCAACUGAACAAUCUGGUUUUCACUCGGUUUUUUCUAAAUAACCGGCAACUCCUUUUUUUAAUGAAUGCAGGAUAACUGCCAUUUUGAAAAUAAAAGGAAUACAUGUUUCUCCUGCUACCUUUGGUAUUCCUUCAUCUUCUCGGUGAUGUUUUUCCUUUCAAUUGCUUGCACGCCGGAGACUUGGCUGCUUGCCCCUUUCAACCUGGAGGCCUGCCCAACGGUCUAUGGGGACACCGUUCUCUUAGGCCUAAUUUGGUUGCAAUGGGGAGGUAACCCAGGGCCCUAAUCUCCCACGGGGGCAUUUCCAUGGACGCCGGGGAUCCUCUCCUCCCACCACGGAGAUAUCAGCACGUCAGUUUGGACGGCAGGGGAGAGGGGAGAAGAUCACGUCCCCAAAAAAUGCUAGAAAAGUUUCAGGUUGAGGGAGUUGGUUGGAUGAUGACCUGGUCUGUCGCCUUCGCCGCCGCCGCCGGUGCCGGAGGAGCUGCGCGUGGAGGCGGUUGUUGAGCGAGGCCGUGGGGGUGUCGCUUUCCAAUCAUCGGACGAGGAAGCACGGAGGCUGGAGGCGGACGCCAUUGGCUCUCGGUCCCUCGGUUGCGAGGAGAGAGUCGCAAGCGAAGGAGACAAGGGUUUUCUCCCUGACUUGUCGACGCUGGGAGAUCAGACCCGGGGACGGGUCGUGGUAAGGCCAGGGAUCUUCUCCCCUCGCAUCCUACCAAAUGGGUCUGUUUACUUACCCGGGCCCAACUUACCCUGUGGUUUGCCCACCCGUGGAAAAGGCUGGGAUCCCCUCGGGAUCCUUUUGAACCAAAUGGGGCCUUAGAGCAUCUCCAACAGGCGCCCAAUGCGCGGCGCGCUAAAAUCUGGUUUGCGACGCGCGCAACGCCGGGUUUGGUGCGUCGCGCAACGCUUGCUCCUGCAGUAGCGCUAAAAUGCAGCGCGCGCGAGCAGCCGACGCACAUAUUUGUUCUUACUUUGGGAACAAAUUUCACACUUCAACACAAAACACAUGACAUAUAUUGAAUCACAAACAUCAUUCCAACCAAGUUCGUGCCCAAAAGUUCAUGCACACAAGUUCAAAUUCAUGCCCACAACAUAAUAAUUAAACCAAGUUCAACAUGCAAACCAAGUUUAUGAUGACACAAACGAAAGACACAAGAAUCAAGCCUCUCCUCGUCUUCAUCUUCAUCUCUUCCUCCGAAGACGAUUCUUCCUCCUCCUCUUCAUUGUUGCACGUCGUAUCAUCAUCACGUGAAGCUCAGAAGGUGUUGUCAAGAUCUUGAAUGGCAUCUUCAUGCGAAGGUGGCAAACCGGCGUCCGGAGGGGCACCCAUGCCCCCAAUGAGAGACGCAAAACUCAUGCCACCCAUGCCACCCAUGCUUUCCAAGCCGCCCGGAGGUGCUCCAAAGCCACCCAUGCCUCUCAUUGUCUCCAUGGUAGCUCCAAAGCCACCCAUGAAACCCAUGCCGCCCAAGAUAGCUCCAAAGCCACCCACGGAACCCAUGCCGCCAAAGCCAUCGGCAUCCAUGCCGCCACCGCCACCAAUACCGCCAAGGCCACCGCCACCCAUGCGCCAAUCAUGGUUCUUUUUUGGAUCAAGACUUCUUCACGGGCAAGGUUGACAUACUUCUUUUGCGCAUCAUUGCACAAAGAUGUGUCCAAGAAGAACAAGUGCUUCUCUCAUUCCAACAACUUAGCUCGCUCCUCCAUCGCCAUCUUCCUCUCCUCCAAUGCCACUUUCCUCUCCUCGGCCGCCAACCUCCUCUCCUCGGCCGCGGCAUCUUGGUUCCUUGUCAUUUUCCUCACCUUGUUGGCUUCUCUUCUUGCGUUGACAAUUGCUUCUAUAGCAUUUUUUUAUCUCAUCAUCUCCUUUCCUCUUCUUCUUUUCUUUGUCCUUCUUCGUGCCAUCCGGUCGUUUUGGCUUCGAGUAUGAAACCGAGUUUGGGGUGGGGCUUCUCUUGCCAUCUUCACUUGAUGCAUCAUCCUCAUCAUCAUCUUCCAAAUUAAUUGUUUGCUUGUGUUUUUUUGCUCAAAUCCAAAUCAUCAAUAUCCUCACGCUUCUUCCAUUUCUCAUCAUCCUUCAAUACUUCAUAGCAAUGAGGCAAGGAAAAUGGCCUUCCUUUCUUGAUCUUCCCCUUCUUGGUCCUCUUCUCCUCUCCUUUGAACAAGUUUUUUGCAAUGUUUAACUACAUGAAAACAAAACAAGUUAGCACAAGAAACACCAACAACAAGCAUGAUGUGAACAUGAGGAAUGAUAAAACCACACUUACCCUAUCAUCAUCAUUGGUGCCACUUGGGUUCAACUUGUCAACCGCUUUUUGUGCGGCCAACCAUUGUUGACAAUCCCUAUUGAUGGUCGACCAAGGUGAUUGUGCGGAGCGGUCAAUUCCACUCAUGUUGCAAAGAUCAAAGUGUUCUUUCAUCCGGAGCCAAUAAGCAUCUCUACUUUGAUCACCUCCAAUGGAUGGAUCCCUCGACACUUGCAACCAAGUAUUGCAUAGUAAGAUGUCUUCGGCAUUGGUGUUUGCCCGCUCUUCCUUUCAGUGCGUCGACAAUGCCCUCACCAUCCUCGUCCACCUCGAAUUCAUGGUCUUCAAAAUGCAUGUCAUUGGUUUGAGACCAAUGCGAAUUGUUCGAGCCAACACCCAUAGUUGACAUGUAUGCAUCAUCGUUCACACUACAAAGUAUAUAGAACAAUGCAAUAAGCUAUCUAUAUGUAUGCAUUCAAAAAAUAAAGAAGGAAAAGGAGUUCGGGAUUUUUUUACCUUUGGGGCAUAUCGUCGAACACAUGGUGCGCGUCGGUCGCCGGCUCAACAAGUGCGAUCGCCAGCGCUUCGGUAGCCGCCGCGCUCGUCACACGCCCUGCAAGCUUCUUCCUCGGCGCCUUCGAGGUGCCGGAGCCGUCCGUCGUCUUCUUCUUCUUCGCGGAUGUCUUGCCCUUCUUCGGCCGCGGCGCAUUUGGGAACUUCGAGGUGCCGGAGUCGUCCGUCGCCUUGUUCUUCAUCACGGCGGGCGCCGGCACGACGCCACCAGCCGCCGAGGUCAUUCGCAGCGGCAUGAAGAGGGGGCGCGCGAGGCCGAUGCUCGAAGGAGCUCCUGCGAAGGUGUGGCCGACGCUCCCAGCGCUAGGGUUUGCGGCGGCGGUGGCGGCGGCGCUGGAGGGUUCGCGGCUGUAGGAUGGGGUGAGGGGAGUGCCGGCGCGUGGGUCCAUUGGGUCAGCUCGCCGGCGCCGGUGUGUGCGGCGUGAAGGUGGCGCGGGGGAGAGAGUGCGGCGCGAGCGCUUUUGUGUGCCGCGCGCGGAAGCCAGCUCCCCAAAUACGCAGCGCACGAUAGCGAUUCGGACCGCGCGCCCAACUCUAUAUGCCGCGCGCGCGAUUAUUGCACGCCCGCUAGAGACACACUAGCGAUUACGCGCGCGCUAAAAUGGAUUGCGAUGCGAUGCUUGUUUUGCGCGCCUGUUGGAGAUGCUCUUAGUGAGGCUGGUGCCGUUGCUUGGACAACUUCUGGUGACAUCAGCUCCGAUCAGAGACAUCAUUCCGCUGCCGGAUAUAAGGCUGCUCUGUGUAUUAUGGAUUCGCUGAAGCGGUUCCUGGUUCCUUAACGUCGUCGAAGCAUGUACUCCUUCUGUUCCUUAAUAUAAGUCGUUUUAGACAUUUCAAAUGGACUACAACAUACGGAUGUAUAUAGACAUAUUUUAGAGUGUAGAUUCAUCUAUUUUGCUUCUUAUAUAGUCAUUUGUUGAAAUCUCUAAAAAACUUAUAUUUAGGAACGGAGGGAGUACAUCAGCAUUAUCCAUGCCAUCGGCGAUAUUUCUUCUCCAGUCUCGAUGGCGGUAGCGGUGCUGGAUCAGUAGGCAGCCUCUUAGUCUCUUUCUUCGGCUUCAACCUUGCCGAGGCCGUUGUUACAUAGGACGCGAGC